RNAcentral lists this ribosomal RNA (285 nucleotides) under uncultured bacterium. RNAcentral's name for it is "partial 16S ribosomal RNA". It matches the Rfam family "Bacterial small subunit ribosomal RNA", at positions 123 to 406 of the family's 1533-position model. The record is from RNAcentral.
AACGUGCCCAGUUGUGGGGGAUAACGUAGAGAAAUUUACGCUAAUACCGCAUGAGAUCUAUGGAUGAAAGCGGGGGACUUCGUAAGGAGCCUCGCGCGACUGGAGCGGCUGAUAUCAGAUUAGGUUGUUGGUGAGGUAAAAGCUCACCAAGCCGACGAUCUGUAGCUGGUUUGAGAGAACGACCAGCCACACUGGGACUGAGACACGGCCCAGACUCCUACGGGAGGCAGCAGUGGGGAAUUUUGGACAAUGGGCGCAAGCCUGAUCCAGCAAUGCCGCGUGCAG